AGCAGCCGCGGUAAUUCCAGCUCCAAUAGCGUAUAUUAAAGUUGUUGCAGUUAAAAAGCUCGUAGUUGAAUUUCGGGAUCAAUUUAUCGGUCGUGCCAAUGGUAUGAACUGGUACAAUUGGUUUCUUCCUUCUGAUAAAGCGUGAUGCCAUUAACUUGGUGUCGCCGGGGAAUCAGAACUGUUACUUUGAAAAAAUUAGAGUGUUUAAAGCGGGCUUAGGCUUGAAUACAUUAGCAUGGAAUAAUGAAAUAGGACGUUUGAUCCUAUUUUGUUGGUUUCUAGGAUCGACGUAAUGAUUAAUAGGGAUAGUUGGGGGCAUUAGUAUUCAAUUGUCAGAGGUGAAAUUCUUGGAUUUAUUGAAGACUAACUACUGCGAAAGCAUUUGCCAAGGAUGUUUUCAUUAAUCAAGAACGAAAGUUAGGGGAUCGAAGACGAUCAGAUACCGUCGUAGUCUUAACCAUAAACUAUGCCGACUAGGGAUCGGAUGAUGUUAAUUUUUAAUGACUCAUUCGGCGCCUUA
This 520-nucleotide ribosomal RNA is filed under the name uncultured Glomus. RNAcentral's name for it is "SSU rRNA". It matches the Rfam family "Eukaryotic small subunit ribosomal RNA", at positions 569 to 1090 of the family's 1831-position model. Lineage: Eukaryota; Fungi; Glomeromycota; Glomeromycetes; Glomerales; Glomeraceae. The record is from RNAcentral.